GCUCUAACUUAACCAAGAUAAAUAAAUAGGUGUAAAUAGGAAAGAUGGUAGAAUCGAAUAAGAACAAUGUUAAAGGUAAGAUAACAGUGAGUGAUAAUAUGGGAAUAGAGAGUAGAGCAAUUCUAGUAUAUGGGUGAUGGUAGCAGAAUAGAGAGGAUAACUAUGGUUUCUCUACUUCAAAGGGGUAUGUCUAUGUUUGGGACGAACCACGUGAUAAGAGUACACCACAAAGGAUGCUUAUCCUUAGGCCGGUAA
RNAcentral lists this long non-coding RNA (255 nucleotides) under Sorghum bicolor (sorghum). RNAcentral's name for it is "long non-coding RNA (SBIC_LNC008796)". Lineage: Eukaryota; Viridiplantae; Streptophyta; Magnoliopsida; Poales; Poaceae. The record is from RNAcentral.